RNAcentral lists this unclassified non-coding RNA (240 nucleotides) under soil metagenome. RNAcentral describes it as "partial contains 5.8S ribosomal RNA, internal transcribed spacer 2, and large subunit ribosomal RNA". The record is from RNAcentral.
AACACUGUUAACCUGCGGUACCUGCGGAAGGAUCAUUGCUGGAACGCGCUUCGGCGCACCCAGAAACCCUUUGUGAACUUAUACCUAUUUGUUGCCUCGGCGUAGGCCGGCCUCUUCACUGAGGCCCCCUGGAAACAGGGAGCAGCCCGCCGGCGGCCAACUAAACUCUUGUUUCUGUAGUGAAUCUCUGAGUAAAAACAUAAAUGAAUCAAAACUUUUAACAAUGGAUCUCAGAUCGGA